GGAUGUGAGGACGAUCUGGCUGAGACAUCUGUCACCCCGCUGAUCACCAAUGUUGAUUCAGCUGAUCUGGCUGGCGGGGUAGGUGUCCCCUUCCUCCCUCCCUGCUCAAUGUGCGUCCUUCCAGAAGCUGCACCCUUGGUCGAAGAGGACGACCAUCCACAAUAGAGGAGAACUUCAGUCAAGGGUGUACAAGUAGCUGCCCUCCCCUGCUAGAACCUCCAGACAAGCUCUCAAGAAAAUAAGGCAGACUGCAAAUUAAUUAGUUGGACAUACAUCACAAGAAGUU
This 286-nucleotide small nuclear RNA is filed under the name Callithrix jacchus (white-tufted-ear marmoset). RNAcentral's name for it is "7SK RNA". It matches the Rfam family "7SK RNA". From Rfam's summary of the family: 7SK was discovered as an abundant small nuclear RNA in the mid-70s but a possible function has only recently been suggested. Two independent studies have found that 7SK RNA binds the CDK9/cyclin T complex (known as elongation factor P-TEFb). P-TEFb activates transcription by phosphorylating the C-terminal domain of RNA polymerase II. Lineage: Eukaryota; Metazoa; Chordata; Mammalia; Primates; Cebidae. The record is from Rfam by way of RNAcentral.